Callorhinchus milii (elephant shark) is the source of this 72-nucleotide non-coding RNA. The record is from the annotation of a RefSeq genome assembly. NCBI's taxonomy places the organism in Eukaryota, Metazoa, Chordata, Chondrichthyes, Chimaeriformes, Callorhinchidae.
GGUUCUGUAGCUCAGUGGUUAGAGCGCUCGCCUUACAAGUGAGAGACCUGGGUUCAAUCCCCGGCAGGUCAG